AAUUUGACUGUGCAAAGGUAGCAUAAUCAUUAGUUUUUUAAUUAAAAGCUUGUAUGAAUGGUUGGACGAGAUAAAAUCUGUCUCUGUAUAAAAAAUAGAAUUUAAUUUUUAAGUUAAAAAGCUUAAAUUUAUAUAAAAGACGAGAAGACCCUAUAGAUCUUUAUAUAAUUUUUUAUAGUAUUAAUAAAGUAAAUUUAAUUUAUUAUAAAAAAUUAUAUUUUAUUGGGGUAAUAAAAAGAUUAAUAUAAUUCUUUUUUAUAAUACAAUAGUUAUUGAUUUUAUGAUCCAUUAUUAAUGAUUAUAUGAUUAAGUUACCUUAGGGAUAACAGCGUAAUUUUUUUAAAGAGUUCUUAUCAAUAAAAAAGUUUGCGACCUCGAUGUUGGAUUAAAAGUAAUUCUAGGUGCAGAAGUUUAGAGUUUUGGUCUGUUCGACCAUUAAAUUUUUACAUGAUCUGAGUUUAGACCGGCGUAAGCCAGGUUGGUUUCUAUCUUUAUUUAUUUAAUAUAUUUUAGUACGAAAGGACCAAUUAUAUAAUAUAUUAAUAUUUAUUUUUUUGAAUUA
RNAcentral lists this ribosomal RNA (562 nucleotides) under Hydroporus despectus. Its description in RNAcentral is "partial 16S ribosomal RNA". The stretch from base 322 to 480 matches the Rfam family "Bacterial large subunit ribosomal RNA", at positions 2473 to 2632 of the family's 2925-position model. Lineage: Eukaryota; Metazoa; Arthropoda; Insecta; Coleoptera; Dytiscidae. The record is from RNAcentral.